This 217-nucleotide long non-coding RNA is filed under the name Elaeis guineensis (African oil palm). RNAcentral describes it as "long non-coding RNA (EGUI_LNC027464)". Lineage: Eukaryota; Viridiplantae; Streptophyta; Magnoliopsida; Arecales; Arecaceae. The record is from RNAcentral.
CCCCUUCCUAUCCAUACUCCUCAAUAUCGCUUGUAGCUCGAUAAUCAUUCUUUACUACUUAGCGAUAACCCUCUUAAGCUCUGUAUUCUUGAUGUCCUCUCUAGCCCUCCUCCACUUGGCCUCCGUAGAGACACAUUGAUAUUUAUGGAGGACCUAAUUUUGAGCAUAAAUAGAUAAUAAAUAGAUGAGUUAGAAGAAAAUUUAAAAAAUCAAAGUG